UAUAUUUUGUAAUUAUAUUUAAUAAGCGCUUCUGACAGCGGCAUCCUAAAAUAAUGUUAAACAGGUAUUUUUAUAAUUUUCAGUAAUGUCUUGUUUUUAGAUUCUGAGUGGAGCGAGAUAUAUAUUGGUUUUACAAUGAUGUAUAUUUUUUUUCAGUGGACAACUUUUCUACCAGCAAUUUUGCUCCGAUUCAUAAUGAUAGCACUUUUUUUGAAAGGGAAUCUGACUGGAGUAGUACUUUAGAGAGGUCAUUUUUUGAUUUCGCCAGGAGUUUUCUCAAUGAAUGAGAAAAACUGGGGAAAAAAGUAGAAAAAACGAGAAAAUGUGUGCAAUAUUAAACAAAUAUUAUUAAAGAAAAUAUAUAAUACAUAUUGUUAACAAAGCAACACCACUAUCAACCGAACUUCGUUCCGAAUCGUUUUUUCUUUAGCAAUGGUUAAUCGUUGCGUACAGAUUUAUAUUAAAUUUCUCCUCUAUAAACUUCUUAACUUCUCACCUACAACAGUGGCCUACCCACAUGCGAAGUAUGUCCAUCUUUUUAAAUUUAUAAUAACCAUGACUAGUUCGUUUGUUUUGUGAAGUAGCGUUCUUCAUUAAAUACGUUUUUAUACAAUUCAACAUGGAACUUAUUCCUUUCUCAAAUCAUAUAGUCCUCUUAUCCUUCUUAGCUGUCACGGGUUUUCAGUUAUAAAAACUGUACUUGCCUCACUCACCUCAUCAAGCGAGUUGUCAUUGAUUACAAUUCAUAAAUGAUCUAAUAUUUGCACUUUAUGCAUAUCAAAUUUGUUAGAAAAACACAAUUAUUUGGAAUCUAAGUUGAAAAAAUGGGAGAGGGGAGGUACCAUUUGAAACUCAAUAGUUAAUAAUCAUUUUCAUUUACGGUAUAGGAAGAAUGGAGUAAAAAUUUGAAAAUGGUAUUAAAAUAAAGCUUCA
This is a non-coding RNA of Cinara cedri, 933 nucleotides long. The record is from the annotation of a GenBank genome assembly. Lineage: Eukaryota; Metazoa; Arthropoda; Insecta; Hemiptera; Aphididae.